This 497-nucleotide ribosomal RNA is filed under the name uncultured bacterium. RNAcentral's name for it is "partial 16S ribosomal RNA". It matches the Rfam family "Bacterial small subunit ribosomal RNA", at positions 28 to 507 of the family's 1533-position model. The record is from RNAcentral.
GAUGAUCGCUGGCGGCGUGCCUAAUACAUGCAACUCGAGCGAACGGACGAGAAGCUUGCUUCACUGAUGUUAGCGGCGGACGGGUGAGUAACACGUGGAUAACCUACCUAUAAGACUGGGAUAACUUCGGGAAACCGGAGCUAAUACCUGAUAAUAUUUUGAACCGCAUGGUUCAAAAGUGAAAGACGGUCUUGCUGUCACUUAUAGAUGGAUCCGCGCUCCAUUAGCUAGUUGGUAAGGUAACGGCUUACCAAGGCAACGAUGCAUAGCCGACCUGAGAGGGUGAUCGGCCACACUGGAACUGAGACACGGUCCAGACUCCUACGGGAGGCAGCAGUAGGGAAUCUUCCGCAAUGGGCGAAAGCCUGACGGAGCAACGCCGCGUGAGUGAUAAAGGUCUUCGGAUCGUAAAACUCUGUUAUUAGGUAAGAACAUAUGUGUAAGUAACUGUGCACAUCUUGACGGUACCUAAUCAGAAAGCCACGGCUAACUACGUG